UAAAAAUUCACUCGGUGUACCAGUACGAGCGUAAAUAUAUUCUAAACUAUCUGGAGUACUCGUCUCGAGGAUACUGCGACAGUACAAUUUUAUAACGGCUCCUAGAGCUAAAUCAGGCAGUUGAAACAAGUGACAGGUCCAAAUAACAGGCUUUCUCCUAAUUCAAAUUUCAAGUCCAACAUAUAUAAACUACUCAAUUUAUUACCACAUGCUCCAAAUUCAGAUUUGCAAUCUACCUUAUAAUCCAUGAAUUCGAGCUAGAAAAGACUAUACCAAAAAUCAAAAUUUAUGCAUGUCGACGAUUAGAACUUAGGAGUCAAAACCGAUGUAACCCACCUCGGUCGCUAAUCCCUGGCAGCACGAAACUCCCUCGGAUGCGGAACGACCCGCUGGAUCGACUGAAAAUGUCCAAGUCCUGAAAUCAAGCUAACUCCAAUUAUAAAUAUCGAAAAUCCUCAAUUCAGUCCAAAAUCCACAGAAGCAGAGUAAAACAGAGCUUCGACCAAGCUAACCUUCACCAAAUCCC
RNAcentral lists this long non-coding RNA (526 nucleotides) under Ananas comosus (pineapple). RNAcentral describes it as "long non-coding RNA (ACOM_LNC021956)". Lineage: Eukaryota; Viridiplantae; Streptophyta; Magnoliopsida; Poales; Bromeliaceae. The record is from RNAcentral.